CUUAAAUGUAGUCUGACAGGCGUGGAAACAUGCUUUUCUUCGGACAGAUUACAAGGUGCUGCAUGGUUGUCGUCAGCUCGUGCCGUGAGGUGUCAGGUUAAGUCCUAUAACGAGCGCAACCCCUGUUGUUAGUUGCCAGCGAGUAAUGUCGGGAACUCUAGCAAGACUGCCGGUGCAAACCGUGAGGAAGGUGGGGAUGACGUCAAAUCAUCACGGCCCUUACGUCCUGGGCCACACACGUGCUACAAUGGCCAGUACAGAGAGCAGCCACUUGGCGACAAGGAGCGAAUCUAUAAAGCUGGUCACAGUUCGGAUUGGAGUCUGCAACUCGACUCUAUGAAGCUGGAAUCGCUAGUAAUCGGAUAUCAGCCAUGAUCCGGUGAAUACGUUCCCGGGCCUUGUACACACCGCCCGUCAAGCCAUGGAAGCUGGGGGUACCUGAAGUCGGUGACCGCAAGGAGCUGCCUAGGGUAAAACUAGUAACUGGGGCUAAGUCGUAACAAGGUAAGCGUAGUGCU
Molecule: ribosomal RNA, 518 nt
Filed under: uncultured bacterium
Lineage: Bacteria
Description: bacterial SSU rRNA
Rfam family: Bacterial small subunit ribosomal RNA
Source: RNAcentral